GGAUGUGAGAGUGAUCUGGCUGCGACACCUGUCACCCCAUUGAUUGCCAGGGUUGAUUCGGCUGAUCUGGCUGGCUAGGCGGGUGUCCCCUUCCUCCCUCACCACUCCAUGUGCGUCCCCCCCAAAGCUGCCACUUGGUUGAAGAGGAUGGCCUUCCCCUAAUAGAGACAGACCGAUCUUCGGUUGAGGGUAUAUGAGUAGCUGCGCUCCCCUCCUAGAACCUCCAAACAAGCUCUCAAGAGAACAUCUUAGUGGAUUGUAUUCCAGAAUAUGGAAAUACUUUAUAUUGUUUAGCUGUCAGUUGUUAAUGUGUUAGUGCUAACCAGA
Molecule: unclassified non-coding RNA, 327 nt
Organism: Erinaceus europaeus (western European hedgehog)
Lineage: Eukaryota; Metazoa; Chordata; Mammalia; Eulipotyphla; Erinaceidae
Gene: 7SK
Rfam family: 7SK RNA
About the family: 7SK was discovered as an abundant small nuclear RNA in the mid-70s but a possible function has only recently been suggested. Two independent studies have found that 7SK RNA binds the CDK9/cyclin T complex (known as elongation factor P-TEFb).
Source: Ensembl